GUCACAGUGAGAGAGCCAUGAUGGAGGACGGGGUCACCCUGCUUGCCCAACGCGGGGAGCUCCGUCAUACAGAACCCCAGUGAGUUCUGGAGGUCACGCUCUGUUUCAUAAAUGAAAAGCUGGGGCAGGGGCCUUGCCACACGGACACUCCUCGGGCCUCACAAGCUCCUGUGGGUGACCAGGCUGCUCCCCACCGCCGGCGUGGGCUGUUGCUACCCUGCACAUCCCUCGGGUGGGCAGCGGUGCUUGAAACGCCAGCUCCCGCCCUUCCUGCCUAGUGGCUUGACGGCUUCAUUGUGCUAACCACCCAGGCAAGCUUGCGUGACUAACGGAGGAGCGUCUCCCCUUAGAUUCUUCCCGCCCGGAGCCGGGGACAGCAGGUUGUUUAUCACGGAAGGGCUGGGAAGAGCUUUUCAGAAAGGCCUUGGGGACUCUCUGUGUGGCAUGGAACAGAGAGUGCCUGCCCACCCCAGGCAGCCAGAUGCAGCCCCUGCCUGCUUCCCCCUCCCUGGCUAUGUGCGUUCCAGAAAACCACCUGACCUCCAGAUUCUCUCUCGUCCAGUGGAGAUUCUCCUGCCCGAAGGCAGGCGCUCUCCAAGGUCCCUCUCCCCAGAAGAGCCACGAUCCCAGGAAGCCGGCUUGUGCAGAGGAAAGAACCGCACCUCGUUGUCAGAACAACCCCAGCUCUGCCACCUACACCUUGUGUGACCUUGGGCAAGUCAGAGAAACUUCUCAGAUGCACAAUCUCGUCACGCUCCUAGUUUCCAAGCCCACACACCUGAGGGUCAAUGUCCCUUAUUGCACCCCCACCCCAUACCGACUCCAUCAGCAAGUCCUGUUUGUUCUUGCCCCAAGUAUCUCUCCUGUCUGCCCAUUCCCUGCAUCUCCCCCGUCACCACCCCGGGCCAGUCCCCGUUACCCGCACCUGGAGGUCUGCACCAGCCCCACCUGCACUCCGGCGUCCACUCUCGCCCCCAUUGCUGUGAUCUCCACACAACCACGAGCGGCCUUGAGAGCGCAGCGAGGCCGUGAGGCUGCGCAGAGCCCCUCAGUCAGCAGGACCGCGCUCACGGUUCAGUGGGCCGUCUGCUAGAGGCUUUCCGCAGUUCAUUCCUUCUCCCCACACAACUCUGAAGGAUCAGCCCCAGCUCUGGGGCCCAGGACUGCUUGGCUCAUCGAAGAAUCCCGCCAUGCAGGUAUGACCUGGAUAGUACUUGACAUUGCAUUGUAGUGGGGAAAAAUAAAAAGGAACAUGAAACCU
RNAcentral lists this long non-coding RNA (1261 nucleotides) under Homo sapiens (human). RNAcentral's name for it is "long independently transcribed non-coding RNA 385, transcript variant 3 (LINC00385)". Lineage: Eukaryota; Metazoa; Chordata; Mammalia; Primates; Hominidae. The record is from RNAcentral.